RNAcentral lists this ribosomal RNA (158 nucleotides) under uncultured bacterium. Its description in RNAcentral is "partial 16S ribosomal RNA". It matches the Rfam family "Bacterial small subunit ribosomal RNA", at positions 355 to 507 of the family's 1533-position model. The record is from RNAcentral.
UGGGGAAUUUUGGACAAUGGGCGACAGUGAUCCAGCAAUGCCGCGUGAGUGAAGAAGGCCUUCGGGUUGUAAAGCUCUUUUGUCAGGGAAGAAACGGUGGUUUCCAAUACAGAUCACUAAUGACGGUACCUGAAGAAUAAGCACCGGCUAACUACGUG